AGUAAAAUCAACAGUGUUAAUCAAACAGUGUUAAUCUGCAUUUACUCUUAAGGAGUUAAUUUAACAACAAAUAGUGAAAAAUACCCCCUAGUGUUGGUGAAAAUAAUCAGAGUUGAAUUCUGCUUCGUUAAAUUUACUCUGUUAAGCUCCGCCCCUUAAGCCAACUCUGAAGACCUGAGCGGAAGUUCUCUCGUCGCCAUUUUCUUUUGCCUCGCACUAAAAGCUUCUCCUGUGCACUCAAACAAGUCCCUGUCUUCAUCCUUUGACUCCACUGACUCACAGGACACACUCAUUAUUGAAGAACGGUUUUCAAGUACACGAAUGAGGCUCGAUGAUGAAGCUAAAAAAGUACAUCACAACCAAGGAAUGUGAAUGAGAAAUAUCCCAGAGUAAUUGUGGUGUUCCUGUAUCUCAGUGGACCCCACCCCCACGAGCAUUGCUAUAUUGGUGAGCGUGCCACCAGAUACUUGACAUGGAGAAUCAAAACUAUACAGAGAGGCAUUGCUAAAGAACAAGGAGUAUCAUUUAAAGGAAAAGGAUUGUCUUGUCAAGGCCAGAAAAGGCGUCUACAUCUCAAGUGGGGAUUAGCUUGUCUUCUAGAAGAGUGAAACAAGCAUUGAGGAACAUCUUCAAGACAUCGCUGGAAGUGCUCAGUCCUAUCACCUGGCUGUUGAAACGGAGAAUUCAGUUCACCAGUUCUUCAUUCUUGAUCAACAUGUCAUUCCAUGCAAGUCAGCCUCUUCUUUUGUUGCCUUUUGAUGAAAUGUUUUAAUGGGAUUAUGUUUAAUGUUUAAUGGGUUUAAUUCACCUAAAAAUGAGAAUUCUGUCAUUAACUCUCCCUCAUGCCGUUCCAAACCCGUAAGACCUUCGUUCAUCUUUGAAACAACAAUGAAGAUAUUUUAAUGAAAUCUGAAAGUUUUCUGUCCCUCUGUUGACAGUUUACACAACUAGCACAUUCAAGGCCCCGACAGGUAGUAAUGAGACAUUAAAGUAAUCCAUGUUACUCUGUUGGUUUAACCUCAACUUUAUACACGCAUUCACACAACGACUGCUUUCAUUUCAGCAAAUCACUCAUGCGUCGUGGUGCUCUCAUGUACGCAAGUCCGGUUUUGCGUUGCUUCAUAAAACUGAAGUUAAAUCAACAGAGUCACAUGGGUAACUUUAAUGAUGUCUUUACUGCCUUUCUGCACCUUGAAAGUGGUAGUUGUGUAGGCUGUCAAUGAAGUGACAGAAGUCUCCCAGAUUUCAUCAAAAAUAUAUUCAUUUGUGUUCUGAAAAUGAACAAAAGCCUUACAGGUUUAGAAUGAAAUGAGGGUGAGUUAAGGAGAGAAUUUAUUUUUUGGUGAACUAAUUUUAAGGCACACUUUGUUUUGGGCACCAUUUAUAACACUAUUCUACACAAGAUGUACACUCUUGUUGUCAGAAUGAAAGUGUACAACAAAGAUGCUGGCAAAGUGAAGUCCUUGUAUUGCUGAGGUUAGAGCAAGGCUGCUUAGCUAGGUGGUUCAACAGAUUCUGUACUGCAUACAGUGAUGUAUUGUCAUUUCAUGCAGAUGUGAUGUAUUUUUGUGCAUAUACGUGUAUGUUUUUUGAGCCUGACAACGUUUAAAUAAAUGUUUUAAAUGUGA
Megalobrama amblycephala (Wuchang bream) is the source of this 1628-nucleotide long non-coding RNA. RefSeq lists it as uncharacterized. The record is from RefSeq and is a predicted model, not a curated record. Lineage: Eukaryota; Metazoa; Chordata; Actinopteri; Cypriniformes; Xenocyprididae. The transcript is spliced from 6 exons.